UUAAGUUCAGCGGGUAGUCCUACCCGAGUUGAGAUUAAAGAUUCAAAGCGUCCAAAGACGACUGGAAGCGGCUUCAAACGCGCGCUUUCGGCCACCUCAAAGAAGCGUCCUCGACGAAUAGAACUUACUACGCCGAGUGGAACCGUAAGGCGGGUCGCCAGCUAAUACAUUUCAAGCGGGUCGAUCGUGGAGGACCGACG
This 200-nucleotide unclassified non-coding RNA is filed under the name Tulasnellaceae sp. RNAcentral describes it as "partial internal transcribed spacer 2". Lineage: Eukaryota; Fungi; Basidiomycota; Agaricomycetes; Cantharellales; Tulasnellaceae. The record is from RNAcentral.